GAUGGAUGGGCCUUCUUGAAGAAUUCAAAUGCGCUGGGAAAUUUAUGCUUGUCCACCAAAUGCUGUUGCCUACUUUUGUAGUUCUUGAAUUUCAAAGCACAACCUUCCACCAGGCAUUCAUACAUGGCAUAGCCACGUGCAGCUUUUGCCUGAAAAAAUGAAUCAUGUGCUUCAGAUACAUGUAUGCUGAGCAGGGGAGCCGUUGGGUAAACUCUAGAGCACACCGAACAGGA
RNAcentral lists this unclassified non-coding RNA (233 nucleotides) under Hevea brasiliensis (rubber tree). Lineage: Eukaryota; Viridiplantae; Streptophyta; Magnoliopsida; Malpighiales; Euphorbiaceae. The record is from RNAcentral.